RNAcentral lists this small nuclear RNA (21 nucleotides) under Arabidopsis thaliana (thale cress). RNAcentral's name for it is "snRNA_10943". The record is from RNAcentral. Lineage: Eukaryota; Viridiplantae; Streptophyta; Magnoliopsida; Brassicales; Brassicaceae.
AAAGUGCCUAAACACGGAAAU